CUCUGUUGUUAGGGAAGAACAAGUACAAGAGUAACUGCUUGUACCUUGACGGUACCUAACCAGAAAGCCACGGCUAACUACGUGCCAGCAGCCGCGGUAAUACGUAGGUGGCAAGCGUUAUCCGGAAUUAUUGGGCGUAAAGCGCGCGCAGGCGGUUUCUUAAGUCUGAUGUGAAAGCCCACGGCUCAACCGUGGAGGGUCAUUGGAAACUGGGGAACUUGAGUGCAGAAGAGAAAAGCGGAAUUCCACGUGUAGCGGUGAAAUG
This 265-nucleotide ribosomal RNA is filed under the name Priestia flexa. RNAcentral describes it as "Bacillus flexus partial 16S ribosomal RNA". It matches the Rfam family "Bacterial small subunit ribosomal RNA", at positions 431 to 688 of the family's 1533-position model. Lineage: Bacteria; Bacillati; Bacillota; Bacilli; Caryophanales; Bacillaceae. The record is from RNAcentral.